AACGAACGCUGGCGGCAUGCUUAACACAUGCAAGUUGAACGCAGGAUAGGACUUCGGUUCUAUUGCUGAGUAGCAAACGGGUGAGUAACGCGUGGGAAUCUACCUUUUUGUGGGGGAUAACUGAGGGAAACUUCAGCUAAUACCGCAUAAGCUCUACGGAGGAAAGGCUUCGGCCGCAAGAAGAGGAGCCCGCGUCAGAUUAGGUAGUUGGUAGGGUAAAAGCCUACCAAGCCAAUGAUCUGUAGCUGGUCUGAGAGGAUGAUCAGCCACACUGGGACUGAGGCACGGCCCAGACUCCUACGGGAGGCAGCAGUGGGGAAUAUUGGACAAUGGGGGAAACCCUGAUCCAGCAAUGCCGCGUGAAUGAAGAAGGCCUUAGGGUUGUAAAGUUCUUUCACCUGUGAAGAUUAUGACGGUAGCAGGAGAAGAAGCCCCGGCUAACUCCGUGCCAGCAGCCGCCGUAA
This 464-nucleotide ribosomal RNA is filed under the name uncultured bacterium. Its description in RNAcentral is "partial 16S ribosomal RNA". It matches the Rfam family "Bacterial small subunit ribosomal RNA", at positions 29 to 523 of the family's 1533-position model. The record is from RNAcentral.